This 90-nucleotide transfer RNA is filed under the name Bacillota bacterium. RNAcentral's name for it is "Firmicutes bacterium (anaerobic digester metagenome) tRNA-Ser". It matches the Rfam family "tRNA". From Rfam's summary of the family: Transfer RNA (tRNA) molecules are approximately 80 nucleotides in length. Lineage: Bacteria; Bacillati; Bacillota. The record is from RNAcentral.
GGAGAGAUGGCUGAGUUGGUCGAAAGCGCUCGACUCGAAAUCGAGUAGGCGGUUCCCGCCUCCUGGGUUCGAAUCCCAGUCUCUCCGCCA